Molecule: ribosomal RNA, 694 nt
Filed under: Rhizoctonia solani AG-4 HGII
Lineage: Eukaryota; Fungi; Basidiomycota; Agaricomycetes; Cantharellales; Ceratobasidiaceae
Also listed under: 1 other name
Description: eukaryotic LSU rRNA
Rfam family: 5.8S ribosomal RNA (bases 239-392)
Source: RNAcentral
AGGGGAGCUAUUCGGAGGAGUAUAUGUUUGGUUGUAGCUGGCUCCUAAUUAAACUUGGGGGCAUGUGCACACCUUUCUCUUUCAUCCCAUACACACCUGUGCACCUGUGAGACAGAUGUUUUGUGGGGGGGAAGGAACUUUAUUGGACCUUCUACUCCCCCUUGACUUCUGUCUACUUAAUUCAUAUAAACUCAAUUUAUUUUAAAACGGAUGUAAUGGAUGUAACACAUCUAAUACUAAGUUUCAACAACGGAUCUCUUGGCUCUCGCAUCGAUGAAGAACGCAGCGAAAUGCGAUAAGUAAUGUGAAUUGCAGAAUUCAGUGAAUCAUCGAAUCUUUGAACGCACCUUGCGCUCCUUGGUAUUCCUUGGAGCAUGCCUGUUUGAGUAUCAUGAAAUCUUCAAAGUCAAACCUUUUGUUAAUUCAAUUGGUUCUGCUUUGGUAUUGGAGGAUUAUUGCAGCUUCACACCUGCUCCUCUUUGUGCAUUAGCUGGAUCUCAGUGUUAUGCUUGGUUCCACUCAGCGUGAUAAGUUAUCUAUCGCUGAGGACACCCUGUUAAAAAGGGGUGGCCAAGGUAAAUGCAGAUGAACCGCUUCUAAUAGUCCAUUGACUUGGACAAUAUCUAAUUUAUGAUCUGAUCUCAAAUCAGGUAGGACUACCCGCUGAACUUAAGCAUAUCAAUAAGCGGAGGAA